CCUACGGGAGGCAGCAGUGGGGAAUAUUGCGCAAUGGGCGAAAGCCUGACGCAGCGACGCCGCGUGAGGGAUGAAGGUCUUCGGGUCGUAAACCUCUGUCAGCAGGGAAGAACGGUCACUGUGCUAAUCAGCAGUGAAUUGACGGUACCUGCAAAGGAAGCACCGGCUAACUCCGUGCCAGCAGCCGCGGUAAUACGGAGGGUGCGAGCGUUAAUCGGAAUUACUGGGCGUAAAGCGCUCGUAGGCGGUAUGUCAAGUCAAGGGUGAAAACCCCGGGCUCAACGUGGGAACUGCCUUUGAAACUGGCAAACUGGAGUGUGUGAGAGGAAAGCGGAAUUCCAGGUGUAGGAGUGAAAUCCGUAGAUAUCUGGAGGAACAUCAGUGGCGAAGGCGACUAUCUGGCACAUAACUGACGCUGAGGAGCGAAAGCGUGGGUAGCAAACAGGAUUAGAUACCCCUGUAGUC
This 465-nucleotide ribosomal RNA is filed under the name uncultured bacterium. RNAcentral's name for it is "partial 16S ribosomal RNA". It matches the Rfam family "Bacterial small subunit ribosomal RNA", at positions 338 to 795 of the family's 1533-position model. The record is from RNAcentral.